Bombus impatiens (common eastern bumble bee) is the source of this 934-nucleotide long non-coding RNA. RefSeq lists it as uncharacterized. The transcript has 2 exons. The record is from RefSeq and is a predicted model, not a curated record. NCBI's taxonomy places the organism in Eukaryota, Metazoa, Arthropoda, Insecta, Hymenoptera, Apidae.
CGUUUACAACAGCAGGCGCACGCCGCUCUCGCGCUAACGAUUCGAAUUCUCUACAGAAGACUGAAUUUAAAGAAUUAAAAGUUCACGUACUAUUUUCUAUUCAUUAUGUUAUUUCGAUAUAAACUUGUAAGCUUUCGCAAACGAUGGUCCAUUUAUAUAUUAUGUAUAUCAUACUUCAUGAUGUACUGAAUUUUCAUUAGUAAAAGAAAUUAAUUAAGAAGGUGAAUUCGCGAACUUUUGUGAUUAUGUCUUUCGAAUUAAUUCCACGACGUUCUCCCUACAUGCCUUUUAACCUACGAAAUGCAUAUAUAAAGAUCUAUAAAUUCUAUUCAACAGUUCGAAGCAAUAACUGUAAUAAUAAUUAAUUUCUCAUAAAUUACAUUCGAAACUUGGAUAAAAAUUAUAGUAAUUGAAAGUGUAAACUUUGAAAUACAUGUGUUUAGAAUGUAAAUUGAUCUAAUCAAUCUGCACAAGUUAAAAUCAAAUUACACUUAAUGUAAUUUGGUUUUUUUUCUACUAACAGGUAAAACAUCGGAAAUGUAGAAGAAGAAUAGACACAUACAAGGAGAACUUUUAAACAACAACUAGAUUAUAGAUACAAGUUUUUUCAAUCAAAGAUGAGUAGAGAGAACGCCGAUUUAAUGUUUAAAAAGUUAGCCGAAAAGUGCGAACAAACAGUAAGGACCUCUAGUGACCAACGCUCGAACUAUACGUACAUUUCCUCGAUAGUGCUUUUGGUGGGAGAAACGUGUAAACAACAAUAAUAAUAUCAAGAGCAGUCAGCAAUAACUAACAGCCACCACUAGCAACCAGCAGCAAUCAGUUUGUUAGAAAUAAUUAUACGAUGUAAUAAAAACUAAGAUUAUUUAUUGCAGGAUAAUUAUAUAAAAUGUGUUUAGAAAGAGUUUCAAUAAACCAAAGUAGUUUAACAGCA